Molecule: ribosomal RNA, 273 nt
Filed under: uncultured bacterium
Lineage: Bacteria
Description: partial 16S ribosomal RNA
Rfam family: Bacterial small subunit ribosomal RNA
Source: RNAcentral
UACGAAGGGGGCUAGCGUUGUUCGGAAUUACUGGGCGUAAAGGGCGCGUAGGCGGUCCUUCAAGUCAGGCGUGAAAGCCCCGGGCUCAACCUGGGAACCGCGCUUGAGACUGGCGGACUCGAGUUCGGGAGAGGAUGGUGGAAUUCCCAGUGUAGAGGUGAAAUUCGUAGAUAUUGGGAAGAACACCGAUGGCGAAGGCAGCCAUCUGGACCGACACUGACGCUGAGGCGCGAAAGCGUGGGGAGCAAACAGGAUUAGAAACCCUCGUAGUCC